This 216-nucleotide ribosomal RNA is filed under the name Glomeromycotina sp. Its description in RNAcentral is "partial small subunit ribosomal RNA". The stretch from base 40 to 216 matches the Rfam family "Eukaryotic small subunit ribosomal RNA", at positions 686 to 864 of the family's 1831-position model. Lineage: Eukaryota; Fungi; Glomeromycota. The record is from RNAcentral.
GGGUCAGGAGGUUGGUCGUGCCACCGGUACGUACUGGUCUCACUGAUUCCUCCUUCCUGAAGAACCGUAAUGCCAUUAAUUUGGUGUUGCGGGGAAACAGGACUGUUACUUUGAAAAAAUUAGAGUGUUUAAAGCAAGCUAACGCUUGAAUACAUUAGCAUGGAAUAACGAAAUAGGACGAUCGAUCCUAUUUUGUUGGUUUCUAGGAUUGACGUA